This 434-nucleotide ribosomal RNA is filed under the name Acanthamoeba sp. CDC # V313. RNAcentral's name for it is "SSU rRNA". It matches the Rfam family "Eukaryotic small subunit ribosomal RNA", at positions 781 to 1108 of the family's 1831-position model. Lineage: Eukaryota; Discosea; Longamoebia; Acanthamoebidae. The record is from RNAcentral.
CAGGCAGAUCCAAUUUUCUGCCACCGAAUACAUUAGCAUGGGAUAAUGGAAUAGGACCCUGUCCUCCUAUUUUCAGUUGGUUUUGGCAGCGCGAGGACUAGGGUAAUGAUUAAUAGGGAUAGUUGGGGGCAUUAAUAUUUAAUUGUCAGAGGUGAAAUUCUUGGAUUUAUGAAAGAUUAACUUCUGCGAAAGCAUCUGCCAAGGAUGUUUUCAUUAAUCAAGAACGAAAGUUAGGGGAUCGAAGACGAUCAGAUACCGUCGUAGUCUUAACCAUAAACGAUGCCGACCAGCGAUUAGGAGACGUUGAAUACAAAACACCACCAUCGGUGCGGUCGUCCUUGGCGUCGGUCUUUCGGGGCCGGCGCGGGGGCGGCUUAGCCCGGUGGCACCGGUGAAUGACUCCCCUAGCAGCUUGUGAGAAAUCAUAAGUCUUU